Molecule: long non-coding RNA, 5083 nt
Filed under: Sus scrofa (pig)
Lineage: Eukaryota; Metazoa; Chordata; Mammalia; Artiodactyla; Suidae
Description: lncRNA (ENSSSCG00055018946.1)
Source: RNAcentral
UCUAUUUGAGCACAAGCAUGUUGUACUUUAGGGUUUGAGUUAUAGAACAAAAACAAACAAAAAUCAAAUUAUUCAGAUUAUUCCUCCAUAAACUCUACUCCUAAUUAAUAGGUUGUUAAUUCUUCCUCUUAGACUGCAAGCACACCAAGGGGAGUUUCUGGACGGCUAGAGGACAUCUGAGGAGCAUGGCUAAGCCUCAAACCCUCCUUAGGACUACUGUGAACCCCUAUACUUCUGCAGCUACAGUUCCCAAAUUUCUGGGCUCCAUCCCAACAAAAUGUCUAGAAAAAUUUGCUCUAUUUUUGAUCCUCGUUUUUUUUUUGUUUUGUUUUUUUUUUUUUUUUCCUCAUUUCAGAACAGUGAUGGCUUUUCCAGGUAAAGCAUCUUGUUACCUUAUAAGUUUCAUUAAAUAGAUGGCCUUUGAACUAGACCUUGCAGAAUGGGUAAAAUUUAUUUUGGAAAAGAAGUGAAAGAGGGCUAUCAGAGAGUGUUUUCAUGAAUGUAUAAGCCUGGAAUCUGGAUGUCUUUGAUAAGGAGCGAUAAAAGGGUACAUUUGGGUGUGGAUUAAUUCACUUACUCAGUAUAUACAUAUAUAUAGAAACCACAAUUAGAUACGGGAAAUAUAGCAAAGGAUUAGACCUGGUCCAGCUCUCAUGAUGUUCAGAGACAGUGAUGGUUCCGGGGCAUAGAGACGCAGUGGACAUCAAGAGGUGGGCUAAUUCAUUAUUUGAAGACUCUUCAAUGACACACAAAGGAGUUUGAAUUUUAUCCCAUCACUACUUAUAACAGCACUUUUUUUGACACUAAUCACAUGCUGGGCAGUAUUCACUAUUUAUUAUGGUAACAACCUUAUGAUAUAGAGAGAUAUUUGUUAUCUCCAUUUUACUGACAGGGAGACUGAAGCAUGGAGUAGGUACCUAACUUGGCUAAGGACUCAGAGCUAAUAAGAGGUAGAGUCAGGAUUGAGUCCAGGUAUUUUGGCUUCAGAGUCUAUAGUCUUAUCAUUUGUAAAUAUAUAAUAUGUGGCUAAAGAGAAGCUUUUUUAUAUGAAAAAAGUAAAACAAGGUUAAUGAUGCUGGGAAAAAUCAUUGGAAGAUACAGCAGUGUGUAUCAGAGCCUGGACUAGACUCCACAAGGCUUUAGGUCCAUUGCUGCUUCUGCUCCACAUAGAGUGUGCACUAGUGUGCAAAAACUUUGUGGAUACACUUGGCUAAAUUAAGAGGAAUAUGUUUACACUACAAGAGGUGGUAAUGCUGCAGUCCNUUCAGGCUAGGGAUUGAGUCGGAGCUGUAGAUGCCAGCGUACGCCACACCCAUCACCAGAUCCGAGCCAUGUGUUUGACCUACACCACAGCUCACAACAAUGCCAGAUCCUUAACCCACUGAGCAGAGCCAGGUUCAAAACUUGGAUUCAUUUCUGCAGUGCCACAAGGCUUGCUGCAUUCUUUUGUGCUGGUGAGACUAAUAGUGAGCAGUGAGAGGGUUCAGUUGUGUCUGUCUUCCUCUCCGAAUACAUCAGCUGGGGCCCAAAGUUAACAUAUCCAAAGGUAGAAAUGGUUUGUUUUUGUUGUUCCAAGCAAGGUCAAACUUGCAGAAAGGUGCGUUUGGUUGGGUGAGGAUGACCCAGCUAUCUCGAUGUCCUUUUACUAAUCACGGCAUACGAGGUGGUAGAGUCACAAAAUACCUCAUCGUCAGCUGCCUUAGAGACUAGCUUGACCUCCCCCAGGACUCGAUCUACUGUGAAAUGCAUUCAGGCACAGGGAAUAUCAGUGCAAAAACCCCAGGAUUUAUUCCUCACUAAAAGGUGGCUUGGAGGGAUGUCACACGUAGAAAGUGGACUGAUUCAUUUCCACUCCCAGCAUUGUUUCAAUCGAGCUUGGCACAAAGAUGAUCAAUGCUGACUCAGAGCUAUGUCCAGAUGGAGAGAGAGCCUUCUAAACUAUCACAUCCAACCCAGUCCUGGUCUACCACUCCCCCUCGAGUCUCUAGAAUCCUCACUGUCCUAUCUAUAGGGUGCACCCAUUCCAGAGGAUAAGACUCCACUCAUAUUUGGUCCUUUGCCUUCCCAGCAGGACCCCAAAACCCCCUCACCCUUUCAUCUAUGCAGACUGGCACAGAAGAAAUGAUUCUGAAAAAUAAACUAGCUAAUCAUUAGAUGAAAGCAAGCUAUUCUCUUUAUUGGUGAUGCAUCCUGCUUUGAAGGACCUGGUGCAUGAGUUGUGGUGGAGACACUGCUUGGCAUUGACCCAUUUCCCAAAUUAGAAAGACUUAACUCUUCAUGCACAGGUAUUGCUAGACCCCUACAAACCUUGGAUCCUGGGGAGAGAACUGUACGAUAUAGGAUGGAAAGGAACAGAAGAGAACGCAGACUCUUCCAAAGGGAAAAGGAGUUGUGCCGAGUAUGUACAGGUUGUUACUUCCCAGAUUACUCCAGGAUUAGUCCUGCAUUUCUCUGCAAGAGAGUGAGGAAUGGAACAGAGAGGCACUAGGAGUGUUUCCCUAAUUGAAUUCCCUCCACAAGGAAAGAACCAUGAGGAAGAGGGGAAGAGUAGUUCCCUUUCGCCAGUGUUAAGAGCACAUUUUGUGCUCUUAUUUAUUUGUUUAUUUUUCUUUUUAGGGCUGCACCUGUGGCAUAUGGAGGUUACCAGGUUAGGGGUUGAAUUAGGAGCCUUAGCUGUUGGCCUAUCACACCAUAGCCACAGCAAUGCGGGAUCCGAGCUGCAUCUGUGACCUACACCACAGCUCACAGCAACGCCAGAUCCUUAACCCACCGAGUGAGGCCAGGGAUCAAACCCGCAUCCUCAUGGAACCUAGUUGGGUUUUCUAACUGCUGAGCCACAAAGGGAACUCCACAUUUUGUGCUCUUAACACUGUGUGUUCCCUGCCCAGGAAAAGAGUAAAUGCUUGUCAAGCCUGUUCUUUGCUGACCCGUGUGGGCCCCUCCCACAAGGAUAACACUGUACCUUGGGUCCCAUGAGCAGGUCUGAAUUCCCCCAACACCCCCUGCUCAAAGACCCUAAAAUGGGUCAGAAGGGCAUAUUGUUUAUAUCAACAAAAAGAAUGAGCAUUUCAUCUCUGGUUGAUUUUCCAGUCUACAUUUUUUUCCCAACAAUGUUGCCCAUCAUAAUCGGUUAUGUGAUCUUUUUUGAGCUUGACUGAUAACAUAAUUAUUCUCCAGCAACAAAAUGUCAAUAAAGGGAUGGCCCAAAUGUGAACAUAAACACUCUGCUACUAUGCCAUUACUGGGGAAAUAUUAAAAUAGGGAGAUGAAAUUAGUUUAAAGGUAAAGUCCAAAUAUGUUACAUUUCCACAGAAUUAAGGUCCAAAAUCAAUUUUCCUUAGGCCUGUGAUUUAAAAUUCCAAAGUUUAUAAAGUACUUCUCAUUUUUUUUUUUCAGUCCUUUCAGUCUCUGUUGAAAGUUUUCAGAGACAGUAUUCUUUUAGGACCUGAAGAUUGUGUUUCUUUCUCUUUGGAAGAAAUGUGUUUCCUCUACCAGGACCUAAGAAUUGUAUUUGUUCUGAGCCUCCGAUGUCAUCACUGUUUUACAGAUUCCCAGGAGUUAUUAUGAAAAACAAGAUUAUCACAACUCUGGCACCACAUCCCAGCAUUGGAGAAACAAAGCAAUCCUUGCUCCUAAAAGAGUUACUUCAGACAAAAUUAUUUUCAGCCAGUCUUUUGUGUUGCCAAGACUGUCACAGGAACUUAUGAUUGUCCGAAAAGGACAUGGCUGUCUUGGUUGGGGUCUUCCUGGGAUACCAGGAAGUUUAUGUCCAUUUUCUGAUACUUAAGAAUUGGAAUUAAAACUCGUUUGGGAAACUCUCAGCAAGAGGUUAAUUUUGGCACUUACUGCAUCAAUGAAGCCCACUUAUGAAUCCUACACAGUAGGUCCGAAGAAUGCUUGCCUGUUUUCCCACGUCUGCAUUGAGCCCCAUGGUUCAGGCAGCUGGUGGUUAAUUGAAUCACAGAAUCUACAAAUUAACAUGGAAUCUACCACUUGCUCUUAUGAGAAGCAUUUUCAGUCCUGCAACACUAAGUCUGUUUCUUCUUCAUUUAUCUUUGGAAGUUUUAAGACUUAAAAAAAUUGUACUUAGAAUUUCCUCCCAUAUAGGUAAUUAAAUGAUACAGAACAAGUUUGACACCAGCUGGUGACAAGAAUUGGAAGGGGUGAGUGGCUUGAUGCCUGACUCUGUGGAGAAGCCUGUGCUAGUUCUAGCCUUGAAAUUUCCCUCCCUGGCCUUGAAUCUUUUUAAAAAUUAUUAUUAUUAAAGUAUAGUUGAUGUACAAUGUUGUGCCAAUUUAUGCUGCACAGAAAAGUGACCCAGUCAUAUAUGUAUGUACAAAUAUAUACAUACAUAUAUAUUCUUUUUCUCAUGCUGCAUCUUCCAUCAUGUUCUAUCCCAAGAUGUUGCACAUCGUACCCUGUGCUAUAGAGUAGGACUUCCUUGCUUAUCCAUUCCAAAUGUAAUAAUGUGCCUCUACUAACCCCAAACUCCCCAUCCACCCCACUCCCUCUCCCACCAACCUUGGCAACCACAAGUCUGUUCUCCAUGUCUGUGAAUCCUUUUUGAAACUAGGGGCAGUCAAUGCAGUCUCCUACCUAGAGCUAAUGCUAACAAUUUAAUGCUAGAAGUUCUGUUGUGCUCCGUAAAAAUUCACAAUUCACUCUUUUAUCAAAUGAAGGACAGCACAUAUCCUUCAGAGACUGAUGUUGGAAAGUUCUGCAGGGACAAUCAGUUGGCCCCAAUCAAAUUCUUUUCCUCUGCUUCCCCUUUAUACCAAAACCUCUGAGAAGAGCCCCUCUCUCAGUCUCUGCUCUUCACACACAUGAACUAAGUACAGGGAAAAGUUGAGGUGCUGUAAGCUGCCUCCUGAGGAAGUCCACACAUGGUUGGGGUUUGAGAAGAGCCCUGAACAUUCUGGUCAUUGCCAUCCUAAGUAGCAAUAACCUGCUAAGGUCAACAUACUGCAAAGAUUCAACACCGCAUACCCAAGCCACACAUUCAUAAAGCCAAUCUUUCAACUGAAAAAUCAGCUUUUGUGCAAUGCUAGGCUGCAAAUCACUAGAAUUAAAAAAAAAAAAAAAA